ACACAUGCAAGUCGAACGCUGAAGCUUGGUGCUUGCACUGGGUGGAUGAGUGGCGAACGGGUGAGUAAUACGUGAGUAACCUGCCCUUGACUCUGGGAUAAGCCUGGGAAACUGGGUCUAAUACUGGAUACGACAUGUCACCGCAUGGUGGUGUGUGGAAAGGGUUUUACUGGUUUUGGAUGGGCUCACGGCCUAUCAGCUUGUUGGUGGGGUAAUGGCUCACCAAGGCGACGACGGGUAGCCGGCCUGAGAGGGUGACCGGCCACACUGGGACUGAGACACGGCCCAGACUCCUACGGGAGGCAGCAGUGGGGAAUAUUGCACAAUGGGCGAAAGCCUGAUGCAGCGACGCCGCGUGAGGGAUGACGGCCUUCGGGUUGUAAACCUCUUUCAGCACGGAAGAAGCGAAAGUGACGGUACGUGCAGAAGAAGCGCCGGCUAACUACGUGC
This 450-nucleotide ribosomal RNA is filed under the name Kocuria rhizophila. Its description in RNAcentral is "bacterial SSU rRNA". It matches the Rfam family "Bacterial small subunit ribosomal RNA", at positions 51 to 508 of the family's 1533-position model. The record is from RNAcentral. Lineage: Bacteria; Bacillati; Actinomycetota; Actinomycetes; Micrococcales; Micrococcaceae.